This is a long non-coding RNA of Cyclopterus lumpus (lumpfish), 1028 nucleotides long. RefSeq lists it as uncharacterized. Lineage: Eukaryota; Metazoa; Chordata; Actinopteri; Perciformes; Cyclopteridae. The transcript has 3 exons. The record is from RefSeq and is a predicted model, not a curated record.
GUGACUCCCUCAGAGGAGACAUGUCCUCCUCCUCAUCAACUGGUCUGCUUACAGAAGUAAUUCAGUCCGAGCUGCGCUGAGCGUGUGAACACGACGACGGAGACUUUCACAGGAUGGAUGCCAGAGAGGAGACGCUGAACAUCCUGAGGAACAUAUGGGUCAAGCUGCAGGGUCUUCCAAACGCUGGCCCUGUGGAGCUGGGAGCUUUCUUUGUCAUCUUAACCUUCAUCUUGGUGGUCCUGCUCAUGACAGCGCUGACCUGCGUGACCAGCAGCUGCUGCUGCUGCUGCUGUCGCAAGGCAAAGAUGAAGAGAUCGAAAAUUUGAGCAAAACAGGACGUGGUGCAAAUGGUCCUCAAAAAACAACAAGAGGCUUGUUGUCGUUUAGUCAACAGACAUUCAAGAGCUUUCAGAGGCACUAGAGUAGCCCAACCCUGGAACAACAAAACACCUGAAACAUCAUGGCGGGCUAACACACCCGCUGAAGCGGGAGAAUCUACUUUCUUUGGAGCAUCGCUGCGCUCUACAGAGGAACAACAACUCAUCUGGCUCGAGGAAACCUGACGUGUCUUCAAUAACGCAGGCUAAUACAAGGAAUAUGAGCUAUAAAAAUGUGUAGGGCGAUUAAAAAAAACUGCAGUGAGUUGCACAGAUACGAAUGGGGAUAACUAAAUGUUUUGUUAACAUGUCAUACUUAAGGAAUGACAACUGGCAGUCAAAGUCACAGCUAACCUGUUUGUUUCGGUGUAAACAAAUUAAGGUCCGUUUGCCCGGUUAGUGCAGUUUAUUUGGGCUGAUGUUAAAGCUGUCAAUCAAACUACGGUCCGUGGACUCGGGCGCGGUUCGUUUGAGGUGGGAAAGCAGACAAACUCGCCACGGGAUUUUGCGAAAGCACACACGGGAUUCUAGCAUGAUUUCACAUGCUAAACUACUAAUAAAUCCAUCUGCUGAUGGUGAAAUCGGUUAUUUGUAUUGAUCUGUAUCGGGCCAUGUAUAUCACCUGUUAAAGCAAAUAUUCUGGUAAAAACA